CUGGCAGCUACAGCGAGAGCCAUUAAGUCUGGUGUUACUCACCCGCGUGUGUACAGUCAUUCACCACAUUGAGCUCAUAUAUAUAAAUACACGGAUGUAUGGUACUAGACUUGUAAUUAGCAGCUAAGUUGUGUAACAAUAUAAAACUAUAUCCAAGAAUUCACAUAUAAAAAAAAAAUUUCUCGUGAAGUUGACAAACAAAGUGACCAUGUUGCAGUGUAGGAAAGAAUUCCUCGUGGUCAUUUUAGCAAGCACUUUAACUGUGGCUCCAAAAUCAGCCCUUGGAUCGGUCUUUGGAACACUGCAGAGACUGAGAGAGGUAGACGACGCCCUUAUCCACGCUGAAAAAUCCCCUAGAUGAUCUCUACAAU
Molecule: long non-coding RNA, 371 nt
Organism: Macrobrachium nipponense
Lineage: Eukaryota; Metazoa; Arthropoda; Malacostraca; Decapoda; Palaemonidae
Exons: 3
Source: RefSeq, a predicted model, not a curated record